UUCUUUUAGAUUUAAUUAAAGGUAUCCUCUGCUCAAUGUUUAAAAUUAAUAGCUGCAGUUUGCACUAAGGUAGCAUAAUCAUUUGGUUUUUAAAUGGAAUCUUGGAUGAAUGAGGGAAUAAUAAUAGAUUUUCUUUUUAUUAACAUUUAAAUUUAGAUUUUUAGUAAAAAUACUAAAAUUUUAUUUAGGGACGAGAAGACCCUAUAAAACUUAAUUCUUUUGUUAAUUUAAUAAAAGGAUUAUAAUUGGGGUAAUGAAUAAAGGUAAGAAUGUUAUUAAUUUAAUAAAAUAAUUUUUAUGAUUUAAGAGCCAGAAUUUCUGAAUAGAUGAAUAAGUUACUUUAGGGAUAACAGCAUAAUUAAUGAUUGGAUAGAUCAAAUUGAUAAUUUUGAUUAUGACCUCGAUGUUGGAUUAAUAACUUACUAAUAGGAUAAGAUUAGAAGGAGUAGUCU
This 452-nucleotide ribosomal RNA is filed under the name Suzukielus sauteri. RNAcentral's name for it is "partial 16S ribosomal RNA". Lineage: Eukaryota; Metazoa; Arthropoda; Arachnida; Opiliones; Sironidae. The record is from RNAcentral.